AGACUUGAUCGUGAUCCUGAGCUUGUGGAUGAACUCAAGGGUUAUGCUUCAAUGGCAAUCAAGAAGCACUUUCCCGACGAUGUAAUAUCUUAUACCAUUUGUUUUGCUCUUUGCCUGCUGGCCUGCCCUUCCUCUAUAUUGAAUUGCAUAAUAUUGGUUGCAGGGGAAAGAACGCAAGGUACUGGGGAUUGUGAAGGUGAAUGCAGGUGGAUGU
Molecule: long non-coding RNA, 214 nt
Filed under: Nicotiana benthamiana
Lineage: Eukaryota; Viridiplantae; Streptophyta; Magnoliopsida; Solanales; Solanaceae
Description: long non-coding RNA (NBEN_LNC000489)
Source: RNAcentral